RNAcentral lists this long non-coding RNA (796 nucleotides) under Homo sapiens (human). RNAcentral's name for it is "HSALNT0270111". Lineage: Eukaryota; Metazoa; Chordata; Mammalia; Primates; Hominidae. The record is from RNAcentral.
AGCCCAAGCCCAGAAGCCUAAUUACCUGCUGAAACUAAUUGAUCCCAUCUGAGCCUCCUGCUGGAACUCCCCACAAAGGGCAUGAAAAUGAGAUGGGUCAGGAAAGUUGCAGGCCAGAACCAGGAGCCGGGAAAAGCAAGACGUGCUCACAGAAGCCAUGCACGGGAAAGAGCUUAUUAAGUAACUUCUCUUUGAGCUGCUCCUCACUGAGCCAGCCAGAGAGACAGAAGCCUGCUUCCUCUGAAGGUGCCUGGAAUGACUCGCAAAUUUCAUUGAAAGUGGCAGGAGGGAAGCAGGCUCUGGAUAAAAUGAUGAAUGCACACAAACUUUAAUCUCAAUCAAGGCGCUCUACAAGGGGACCAUGGUGACAACACUCAGAGAAGCUGACACCAAGGAGAACAACGCCCAACUUUAGAAUGGGAGCCCACCUCACCUCCUCCCCUGGGCUGCUGCAGAGAAGUUUUGUCAGAAGGCCCACAUCUGCACCUGAGUGUUGGCAGCAUCCGAGGGUCACAGUCUGUAUCCCCAGGGAACAUGUUGAAUUGUAGCAGUUUUUCUUAGCACCUGCGCCAGCUCACCACUCCACUUCCCUGCUUCUCUUUUGGGCUCCAGUCUCCUGGAAACCCCUCUCUGUGUGUGAAGGAGCUGCAGAAGAAGAAAUGGGUCCUCCUGCAGAAUGAGCUCCCAAACACAGCACCGCUCGACCAAGGCAAUGGCUACCAGGGAUGCUGUGAUACUCCCAUAAUCCUGACGAGUCAACCACUAUGGCCUUAAUGGCUCUGUCUUCCAUUGGCUC